RNAcentral lists this long non-coding RNA (359 nucleotides) under Mytilus galloprovincialis (Mediterranean mussel). Lineage: Eukaryota; Metazoa; Mollusca; Bivalvia; Mytilida; Mytilidae. The record is from RNAcentral.
AAGAAACAAGCAUAAACAAAAACACAGAUAACUAUAAUAUAUCUUUCAUAACACAAUACCACGCUAAUGCGGAAAAUUUACAAACCAUUAUAAGAAAACAUUGGCAUUUAAUUCAAGACAACCCACAGUUAAAAAAUCUCUUUGAUAAAAAACCUACAAUAGCAUUCAAAAGAAACAGGAACAUUGGGGAAAUCGUUAAGAAACACUUGAAAUAAAUCAAUGUCUCCCAAUAGAAAUUAAUUAGACAGUUACACUAAAACCAACGGAAGGUGCGUUGACAAUGAAAAAUGCAUAUUGAAACGUAUCUUAAACUAAAUCUAAUAACCAAAACCAGUUAUCCAUACGCUGAUAAAACGAAC